This is a long non-coding RNA of Peromyscus eremicus (cactus mouse), 1859 nucleotides long. RefSeq lists it as uncharacterized. The record is from RefSeq and is a predicted model, not a curated record. The transcript has 4 exons. NCBI's taxonomy places the organism in Eukaryota, Metazoa, Chordata, Mammalia, Rodentia, Cricetidae.
CUUCCUCCUGCUGUGGGUGUGGUUCUGAGUCCACGGGGACACCUGUCAAGAUGUUCAAGUUCAUGUGUUAUGGAACAAAGAAUUGAACCAGAGACAGCAGUUUGGUGGUAGCAGUUUGUUAAGACAGAAGAAGUCGCUCCUGAAAAUGAAAAGCCACCCAGUGCCUGAGGUCAUUUCUCAGCUCACAGCAAGGUGACAUCCACUGACAGCCAUAUUGUCAUCAUCGGUUGAGAGAAGAACAAGACAAAAAGGAACAUCGCGGGAGUUGUCCUGCUGUCGGCCGAUUUCCCCCAGGUCUACGGGAGCUCCGGGAGAAGAAUUUCAUGGAGCCCAAACUGGCCUCGAACUCCCUAUGUAAUCAAGAACGACCUUAGAUUCUUCAUGCUACUGCCUCCACCAUCUCCAGAGCAUCAGGAUUACAUGCUUGCACUGCUACAGCAUUAGAUAACAUUUGAAAACUCUCAGAGAGCCCCUGUUCCCUUCUAAAAGCUGGAAGAUUCUGGUAGGAUGUAUAGAAUGCCCCAAACCAAGUUUCUUCUGUUCCUGGCACCAUUAUAGCCUGCCUUCUGUGACUCCAUUCCAUACACCUCUUUCUUCAAGUCUGUGGGGUCGGAGACAUAACUCAUUUGGUAAGUACUUGGUGCACAAGCAUGAGAGCCUGUUUGGAUCCCUAGAACCCACGUAAAAAUCAAAAGUGGUCGUGUACAUCUAUAACCCAAGAGCUGGGCGAGUAGAGAUAGGCAGAUCCUGGCCAGGACUUACUGGUCAACCAGUCUAGCUGUAUCAGUGACCUGCAGGUUCAUUAAAAGACCCUAACUCAAAAAAUAAGGUGGCAAGCAAUUGAAGAUGAGACUUGAUGAGGAUCCCUGGCCUCCACAUGCGUGUGCAUCAUGUAUACCAGCAUGCACACACACACAGAGAAACUCACAACCCACAACAGAUGCACAGGUGAGGGUAUACACAAAGAGGGAGAAGUGGGCUGUACAACAUUAGUAGGCAGUCAUCCUGAGCAAUGUUGUAUGGCAGAUACCGUGGAGAUUCACAGUAAGUGCUAACGAAUUAUGCGGAAAUAAAAGACCCAGCCCUGGAGACGUUCUUAGAAUUGACUGUAGAUAAUUCAACAUCAGAGCCCAGGUAUCCAUAAAGCAUGGAAGUUAUCUUAUUGGUAAUCAUAUAGUGGACUCCCAGCAACCCGUUUUCAGAAGCAUCCAAGUGCUCAACCUGAAAUAACAUAUAUACAAGUGACACUAUACAGACCAGACAGACUGCAUUUAUAUGUCUAGGAAUAUAUAACAACAGUUAAAGAAAAAGAAGCCAGAGGCCAUGAAUUUGAAAGAGAGCAAGGGAAGGUAUAUGGAAGGGGUUGGAGGGAGGAGAGAGAAUAGGGGAAAUUAUGUAAUUAUAUUUUAAUUUCAAAAAUUAAAAAAUAAUAUUUUUUUUUGAAAAGCUGAGUAUCACAUCUCACCCAUUGCUGUAGAGACAAUUUCCCUGGCCAAACAUAAACAAGGUAGCCUCCUUCCUUAUAGGUUCUAUGCCAGUUAGUUUCUGUCACCUUGAUAUAAACUAGAGUCACCUGGGAAGAGGGAACACAGCUGAGGAAUUGCCUCCAUCAGAUUGGCCUGUGGGCAUGUCUAGCGGGCAUUUUCUUGAUCAACGAUUGAUAUAGGAGGGCACAGCCCACUGUGGAUGGUGCCACCCUUGGGCACGUGGUUCUGGGAUGUAUAAAAAAGCAGGCUGAGUGAGCCAUGGCAACAAGCCAGUCAACAGUCAUCCUCCAUUCUUCAGUUUUUGCCUUCGGGUUUCUGCCUUGUUUGAGUUCCUUCCUUGGUAUCCCUCCCUCGUAUACUGUGAGCAAAAUA